Cyprinus carpio carpio is the source of this 1385-nucleotide long non-coding RNA. Lineage: Eukaryota; Metazoa; Chordata; Actinopteri; Cypriniformes; Cyprinidae. The record is from Ensembl.
GGACGGCGCGGUAUCAAUUUCUUAUAUGCAGCUGACCGCGCCCUCGCCUCUUUAAAUUUAUUGACCACAGCCUCAACUGAUGUGCCAAAUAAUUCAGAGGGCGAGACUGGCGAAUCAAGAAGAAAAUGUUUCUCCUUCUCCCCGAUGUCAGCCAAAUUAACCCACAGAUGUCUCUCCGUGGCCACCAUUGCCGCCAUUGCACGACCAAUAGCGGCAGCUGUUUGUUUAGUGGCACGGAGAGAAAGAUCUGUAGUGUGGCGCAGCUCGAUCACCGCUUCAGGGGACAGGCCCUUUCCAUCGUCCAGGGCUUUAAGCAGAUCAGCCUGGUAGGCUUGCAACACAGCCAUUGUGUGCAGAGCACCACCAGCCUGACCCGCAGCUGCAUAUGCCCUGCCGUUCAGCUUAGAUGUCAUUCUCAGAGGCUUAGACGGCAAGGUCGGAGUCUUUAACAUCGAUGUUUCUCCCAUUGAAAGAUAGUUUGCCAACGUCUCUUCUAUGGGAGGCAUCGAUGCAUAUCCGUGCUCGCUCAAUCCCUCCACGUUCGCAUAAUUUGCACGGUGAAAAAGAUGAACGCGAGCCGAAUAUGGGUUUUUCCAAGACCUUUCCACCUCGGUGUGCAGGUCUGGCAAAAACGGAAGACUCGUCGGAAUUGGGAGAUCAUGGCCAGCCAAAAAACGCUCAUCUAAUCUGCCGCGAGCGGGCUUUGGCUUUUCGUGCUUCCAAGAGAGACUUAAUCUCUCAGUUGCACGAGUCAUGACCUCCAACAAUUCAGCAUAUGCAGGGCAGGCAGGCUGAGAGGGUUCAAAUGCUUUAUCUUCAUCCUCAUCAACCACAUCCUGCUCUUCUAGGCUUGCAUUUGUCCGAGCACUAUCAGCUGGAUCAGAUGAUCCUAAAGAAAGAACAUCUACAUCCAACUGAUCGCCCUCGUCGGCGGCAGAAGAUUGAGAAAGAGAAAUACCUCGUUCGAAAUCCUCCGCCAGCUCGACCUGCGAGCCCCAUGAUCUCAGUCUCCGCUGUGCCUCGGCUGCAGCAGGUCCUGAACCACGGGGCGCCGACGCUUGUCCUAAUUCCCUCGAGAAAAGGGACAAGCGUGAACGGAGCUUUUUCAUCGAAAAGCUCUCGCAAGCCGCGCAUUCCGCUCCCUCGAGAGCAGAACGCGCAUGAUCCUCUCCGAGACAAAAAACGCACAUAUCGUGUGAAUCAUCCGGUGUCAAAAAACGCGGACACGGGGAAACACACUUCCUAAAGUGCUUGCCAGAGGAUGCCAUUACUCACGCUUCAAACAAACGGAUCUCCUGAAGACAAAGAAGAGGAUGAUGUGUUCCACGGUGCCCUUUUUAUACCCGCAGUCGCAUUAUUGUUUACGUCACGGGCUACCACCUGCC